UACAGAGGGGGCAAGCGUUGUUCGGAAUUACUGGGCGUAAAGGGCGCGUAGGCGGCCAACUAAGUCAGACGUGAAAUCCCCAGGCUCAACCUGGGAACUGCGUCUGAUACUGGAUGGCUCGAGUUCGGGAGAGGGAAGCGGAAUUCCAGGUGUAGCGGUGAAAUGCGUAGAUAUCUGGAGGAACACCGGUGGCGAAGGCGGCUUCCUGGACCGACACUGACGCUGAGGCGCGAAAGCCAGGGGAGCAAACGGG
RNAcentral lists this ribosomal RNA (253 nucleotides) under uncultured bacterium. Its description in RNAcentral is "partial 16S ribosomal RNA". It matches the Rfam family "Bacterial small subunit ribosomal RNA", at positions 524 to 776 of the family's 1533-position model. The record is from RNAcentral.